UUUCCUGAUCAACGCUAAUCGGAUCAGGGUUAGUCGGGUCCUAAGGGUAAGCCGAACGGUGAUCUCGAUGGAUAAUCGGUUAAUAUUCCGAUACUGACAUAUACCUCGAUGGAGAGACGAAGGAACGUAAGUGCCGCCACCUGACGGAAUAGGUGGUUAAAGGGCUUAGGUAUAGGGACAGAUUAAGAGUUAGUCCUUGCUGAAACCUGACAGUACAGAGAGCCUACGGGCAAUUUGAUAGUGCACCCAAGUCGACUUCCGAGAAAAUCUUCUAAGUUAUAGUAUAUGUCACCCGUACCGUAAACCGACACAGGUGGUCGAGGAGAGUAUCCUAAGGUGCUCGAGUGAAUCACGGUUAAGGAACUAGGCAAAUUAACCCCGUAACUUCGGGAAAAGGGGUCCCAUCGCGAGGUGGGCGCAGCGAAGAGGUCCAGGCGACUGUUUAUCAAAAACACAGGGCUCUGCAAAUUCGAAAGAAGACGUAUAGGGCCUGACACCUGCCCGGUGCUGGAAGGUUAAGAGGGGAUGUCAUCGCAAGAGAAGCAUUGAAUCGAAGCCCCAGUAAACGGCGGCCGUAACUAUAACGGUCCUAAGGUAGCGAAAUUCCUUGUCGGGUAAGUUCCGACCUGCACGAAUGGUGUAACGAUCUGGACACUGUCUCAACCGUGAGCUCGGUGAAAUUGUAGUCCCGGUGAUGAUGCCGGGUACCCGCAACGGGACGAAAAGACCCCGUGAACCUUUACUAUAGCUUAACGCUGAAUUUGGGUACACAAUGUGUAGGAUAGGCAGGAGACUACGAAGCGGGCACGCCAGUGUUCGUGGAGUCGACGUUGAAAUACUGCCCUUUGUGUACUUGAGUUCUAACCCUCGAGAGGGGACACCGUUUGGUGGGUAGUUUGACUGGGGUGGUCGCCUCCAAAAGAGUAACGGAGGCUUCCCAAGGUACCCUCAGCACGAAUGGUAACCGUGCGUAGAGUGCAAUAGCAUAAGGGUGCUUGACUGUGAGACCAACAAGUCGAUCAGGUGCGAAAGCAGGGUAUAGUGAUCCGGUGGUUCUGCGUGGACUGGCCAUCGCUCAAAGGAUAAAAGGUACUCCGGGGAUAACAGGCUGAUC
This 1114-nucleotide ribosomal RNA is filed under the name human gut metagenome. RNAcentral describes it as "bacterial LSU rRNA". It matches the Rfam family "Bacterial large subunit ribosomal RNA", at positions 1351 to 2487 of the family's 2925-position model. The record is from RNAcentral.